This 603-nucleotide ribosomal RNA is filed under the name Triticum aestivum (bread wheat). RNAcentral describes it as "partial small subunit ribosomal RNA". Lineage: Eukaryota; Viridiplantae; Streptophyta; Magnoliopsida; Poales; Poaceae. The record is from RNAcentral.
AUGCACCCCGAGGUAUGCACAUAUGAACUCUUGAAACAAUGGAAAAAUGAAAUAAGAGAAAAUUUAUUGGGCACAUCCUUCAGCACACCAUCAAUCCAUCAAUAUAAUUUGUUCAACCAUGAUGGAAAAACAAUGGAUUUGGGAAACUUGAGAUCUACACAAAAAUGUUCAACUUUUUCUUUCCCUAGUUAUUUUCUAGUGUCCUUGUGCUAUAGUUUUGUAGACCGAGUAAAGUUGAGGAUGACUUUUCUCCAAGAGAAGGAGGAUGAUAUGGACAUGCUCAUGGUUGGUUAUAAAUUUGUGCGCCAUGGAAAUGUUUGCUGGAAGGAACUCCUAAGUCAAACAAAAUAUCAUGUUGGCAUCAUCCAUAAGAUACCAAACUUGAAAACUAAAAAUCUCUAUAUCAUGAAACCUUUGCAUUAUGAGUUGGUAUUGCCCUGCUUUCCUUUGUGUGAUGACCAGGUAGAGUCGAUGAUGACUCUUUUUCAAGAGAGGGGGGAUGAUGAGGACAUCUCAAUUAAUGAAACAACAUCGAUCAUCCCUGGACAAACUUCAAGUGUGAUAAACAAAUGCAUGAUCAGAUGCAACACAAUUCUAAGGUGA